This 1432-nucleotide ribosomal RNA is filed under the name Klebsiella sp. 928k. RNAcentral's name for it is "bacterial SSU rRNA". It matches the Rfam family "Bacterial small subunit ribosomal RNA". Lineage: Bacteria; Pseudomonadati; Pseudomonadota; Gammaproteobacteria; Enterobacterales; Enterobacteriaceae. The record is from RNAcentral.
CCUAACACACAUGCAAGUCGAGCGGUAGCACAGAGAGCUUGCUCUCGGGUGACGAGCGGCGGACGGGUGAGUAAUGUCUGGGAAACUGCCUGAUGGAGGGGGAUAACUACUGGAAACGGUAGCUAAUACCGCAUAACGUCGCAAGACCAAAGUGGGGGACCUUCGGGCCUCAUGCCAUCAGAUGUGCCCAGAUGGGAUUAGCUAGUAGGUGGGGUAACGGCUCACCUAGGCGACGAUCCCUAGCUGGUCUGAGAGGAUGACCAGCCACACUGGAACUGAGACACGGUCCAGACUCCUACGGGAGGCAGCAGUGGGGAAUAUUGCACAAUGGGCGCAAGCCUGAUGCAGCCAUGCCGCGUGUGUGAAGAAGGCCUUCGGGUUGUAAAGCACUUUCAGCGGGGAGGAAGGCGGUGAGGUUAAUAACCUCAUCGAUUGACGUUACCCGCAGAAGAAGCACCGGCUAACUCCGUGCCAGCAGCCGCGGUAAUACGGAGGGUGCAAGCGUUAAUCGGAAUUACUGGGCGUAAAGCGCACGCAGGCGGUCUGUCAAGUCGGAUGUGAAAUCCCCGGGCUCAACCUGGGAACUGCAUUCGAAACUGGCAGGCUAGAGUCUUGUAGAGGGGGGUAGAAUUCCAGGUGUAGCGGUGAAAUGCGUAGAGAUCUGGAGGAAUACCGGUGGCGAAGGCGGCCCCCUGGACAAAGACUGACGCUCAGGUGCGAAAGCGUGGGGAGCAAACAGGAUUAGAUACCCUGGUAGUCCACGCCGUAAACGAUGUCGAUUUGGAGGUUGUGCCCUUGAGGCGUGGCUUCCGGAGCUAACGCGUUAAAUCGACCGCCUGGGGAGUACGGCCGCAAGGUUAAAACUCAAAUGAAUUGACGGGGGCCCGCACAAGCGGUGGAGCAUGUGGUUUAAUUCGAUGCAACGCGAAGAACCUUACCUGGUCUUGACAUCCACAGAACUUUCCAGAGAUGGAUUGGUGCCUUCGGGAACUGUGAGACAGGUGCUGCAUGGCUGUCGUCAGCUCGUGUUGUGAAAUGUUGGGUUAAGUCCCGCAACGAGCGCAACCCUUAUCCUUUGUUGCCAGCGGUUCGGCCGGGAACUCAAAGGAGACUGCCAGUGAUAAACUGGAGGAAGGUGGGGAUGACGUCAAGUCAUCAUGGCCCUUACGACCAGGGCUACACACGUGCUACAAUGGCAUAUACAAAGAGAAGCGACCUCGCGAGAGCAAGCGGACCUCAUAAAGUAUGUCGUAGUCCGGAUUGGAGUCUGCAACUCGACUCCAUGAAGUCGGAAUCGCUAGUAAUCGUAGAUCAGAAUGCUACGGUGAAUACGUUCCCGGGCCUUGUACACACCGCCCGUCACACCAUGGGAGUGGGUUGCAAAAGAAGUAGGUAGCUUAACCUUCGGGAGGGCGCUUACCACUUUGUGAUU